UUAGCCAUGCUAGUUGCACGAGUUGAGGCUCGUAGCAGAUAGCUCAGUAACACGUGGCCAAACUACCCUCUGGAGGGGACCAACCUCGGGAAACUGAGGCUAAUUCCCCAUACUGCUCGACGCCUGGAACUGGCGCGAGCUCGAAAUGCCCCGGCGCCAGAGGAUGUGGCUGCGGCCGAUUAGGUAGACGGUGGGGUAACGGCCCACCGUGCCAGUAUCGGUACGGGUUGUGAGAGCAAGAGCCCGGAGACGGUAUCUGAGACAAGAUACCGGCCCUACGGGGCGCAGCAGGCGCGAAACCUUUACACUGCACGCCAGUGCGAUAAGGGGACUCCAAGUGCGAGGGCAUAGAGCCCUCGCUUUUCUGCACCGUAAGGUGGUGCAGGAACCAAGUGCUGGCAAGACCGGUGCCAGCCGCCGCGUAAUACCGGCAGNACAAGUGAUGGCCGUCUUAUUGGCCUAAAGCGUUCGUAAGUUGGCAGCAAGUCCAUCGGGAAAUCUUCCCGCUUAACGGGGAGGCGUCCGGUGGAAACUGCNUGGNUUUGGGACCGGAAGACCAGAGGGGUACCGUCNGGGGUAGGAGUGAAAUCCCGUAAUCUUGGACGGACAACCGGUGGGAAAAGCGCC
Molecule: ribosomal RNA, 627 nt
Filed under: Sambhar Salt Lake archaeon HA6
Lineage: Archaea; Methanobacteriati; Methanobacteriota; Halobacteria; Halobacteriales; Halobacteriaceae
Description: bacterial SSU rRNA
Rfam family: Archaeal small subunit ribosomal RNA
Source: RNAcentral